Molecule: ribosomal RNA, 189 nt
Filed under: uncultured bacterium
Lineage: Bacteria
Description: partial 16S ribosomal RNA
Rfam family: Bacterial small subunit ribosomal RNA
Source: RNAcentral
CCUACGGGAGGCAGCAGUAAGGAAUAUUGGUCAAUGGACGAAAGUCUGAACCAGCCAUGCCGCGUGAAGGAUGAAGGUCCUCUGGAUUGUAAACUUCUUUUAUCUGGGACGAAAAAAGGGAAUUCUUUCUCACUUGACGGUACCAGAAGAAUAAGCACCGGCUAACUCCGUGCCAGCAGCCGCGGUAAU